Molecule: small nuclear RNA, 23 nt
Filed under: Arabidopsis thaliana (thale cress)
Lineage: Eukaryota; Viridiplantae; Streptophyta; Magnoliopsida; Brassicales; Brassicaceae
Description: snRNA_01301
Source: RNAcentral
UCGAAAAGCUCGCUAGACCGCUU